AUUGAACGCUGGCGGCAGGCCUAACACAUGCAAGUCGAGCGGUUGACGGGGGCUUGCUCCCUGAUUCAGCGGCGGACGGGUGAGUAAUGCCUAGGAAUCUGCCUAUUAGUGGGGGACAACGUUUCGAAAGGAACGCUAAUACCGCAUACGUCCUACGGGAGAAAGCAGGGGACCUUCGGGCCUUGCGCUAAUAGAUGAGCCUAGGUCGGAUUAGCUUGUUGGUGAGGUAAUGGCUCACCAAGGCGACGAUCCGUAACUGGUCUGAGAGGAUGAUCAGUCACACUGGAACUGAGACACGGUCCAGACUCCUACGGGAGGCAGCAGUGGGGAAUAUUGGACAAUGGGCGAAAGCCUGAUCCAGCCAUGCCGCGUGUGUGAAGAAGGUCUUCGGAUAGUAAAGCACUUUAAGUUGGGAGGAAGGGUUGUAGAAUAAUACUCUGCAAUUUUGACGUUACCGACAGAAUAAGCACCGGCUAACUCUGUGCCAGCAGCCGCCGUAA
RNAcentral lists this ribosomal RNA (500 nucleotides) under uncultured bacterium. Its description in RNAcentral is "partial 16S ribosomal RNA". It matches the Rfam family "Bacterial small subunit ribosomal RNA", at positions 30 to 523 of the family's 1533-position model. The record is from RNAcentral.